This 1293-nucleotide ribosomal RNA is filed under the name Triticum aestivum (bread wheat). RNAcentral's name for it is "partial small subunit ribosomal RNA". The record is from RNAcentral. Lineage: Eukaryota; Viridiplantae; Streptophyta; Magnoliopsida; Poales; Poaceae.
AUGGGAUCGCAAGCGGUAUGGCUCCCCGUGGCCCUGCUCCUGGCGGCAGUGGCCCUCUCGUCCGUCCUGACGGCGCCGGCCGCCGCGGCCGCUACGGAGUCCGGCGAGGCCGACCACGCCGUUCAGCAGCACAGCGAGCGCAUCUCAGGAAGUGCUGGUGAUGUGCUAGAAGACAAUCCUGUGGGAAAGUUAAAGGUUUUCAUAUAUGACUUGCCAAGAAAGUAUAACAAGAAGAUGGUCACCAAGGAUCCCCGGUGCCUCAAUCACAUGUUUGCUGCGGAAAUAUUCAUGCAUCGUUUCUUGCUCUCAAGUGCUGUGCGGACUCUCAAACCCAAAGAGGCUGAUUGGUUCUACACACCAGUUUAUACUACAUGUGACCUAACUCCUGCUGGUCUUCCCUUGCCAUUCAAGUCACCACGGGUGAUGAGGAGUUCGAUCCAGUAUAUUUCGAAUAAAUGGCCCUUUUGGAACCGAACUGAUGGCGCAGAUCACUUCUUUGUUGUCCCACAUGAUUUUGGAGCUUGCUUCCAUUAUCAGGAAGAAAAAGCUAUUGAACGUGGCAUUCUCCCAUUGCUGCGACGUGCUACAUUGGUGCAAACAUUUGGACAGGAGAAUCAUGUUUGCCUGAAGGAGGGGUCUAUCAUCAUUCCACCCUUUGCUCCUCCUCAGAAAAUGCAGGCUCACCUUAUUCCCCCGGACACACCACGGUCAAUCUUCGUUUACUUUAGGGGUCUGUUCUAUGACACCGGAAAUGACCCUGAGGGUGGUUACUAUGCAAGAGGUGUGCGAGCUUCCCUGUGGGAGAACUUCAAGAACAAUCCUCUGUUUGACAUUUCCACCGAUCACCCUGCCACUUACUACGAAGACAUGCAGCGCGCGGUCUUCUGCCUGUGCCCAUUGGGCUGGGCACCAUGGAGCCCUAGGUUGGUUGAGGCUGUGGUCUUUGGCUGCAUUCCAGUCAUCAUAGCUGACGAUAUUGUGCUGCCAUUUGCUGAUGCUAUCCCAUGGGAAGAAAUUGGUAUUUUUGUGGAGGAGAAGGAUGUCCCAAAGUUGGACACAAUCCUGACAUCAAUGCCCAUCGAGGAUAUUCUAAGAAAGCAAAGAUUGCUUGCAAAUCCAUCAAUGAAGCAGGCCAUGUUGUUCCCACAGCCAGCCCAACCACGAGAUGCAUUCCACCAGAUCUUGAAUGGCCUUGCUCGUAAGCUCCCACACCCUGAGGGUGUAUACUUGCCACCUGGCGAGAAGCAUCUCAACUGGACUGCCGGACCUGUUGGAGAUCUGAAACCGUGGUAG